This 2109-nucleotide long non-coding RNA is filed under the name Homo sapiens (human). Its description in RNAcentral is "PREDICTED lncRNA (TCONS_00094183)". The record is from RNAcentral. Lineage: Eukaryota; Metazoa; Chordata; Mammalia; Primates; Hominidae.
CAACCCCCCCCUCUAUUGCCAGUUUCUCACUAAAGUGAAGAUACACAAGACUAGGCACAGCGUUGGGUCUGUUCAUUCUGCAGAUUCUACAAACAUUCAUCCAUCACCCGCUAUGGACCAAGCACUAGGUUGAACCAAGUGAUACACGGAUGCUGGUGCCAAAAAGGUCUUUGUGCGCAAGGUCUGGGUUUUCGCCACUCUGAGUCCCCAGGGCCAGGUUCCUGUUGCAGCCUGGAGCCGGAAAAGAAUCUGGGAGGAAGAGGUUGGGUGUUGGGGCCAGCAGACUAGGGGACGACAGAUCCUGCCCUGCCACUCAUUUGCUGUGCAACUCUCAGCAAAGCACCCAACCUCUCCGAGCCCUCGCUUCCCCAUCUGUGAAGUGGGGAUCAUAAGGCCCAUCCUGCAAGGUGGUUUCCGCGGUGAAAAUAGAAAACGAGGCCUGUUCCUACAGCCUGUGUGUCUUGGGAGGAACUGCUCAUCAUCUGUGAUCCUUUUUUACCUGAUUACGGGAAAGGGGAGUGAUCUGCUCACUGACCCCCGGCUGGGCUUUUCCCUGCCAGUGAAAUCAUUUGAAAUUGUCCAAGGAAAUCAGGAACCUGAGCCGACGCAGAGUCACCGAGCUUGGUGCCAAGCACUGGGGGAGCUCCAGUUACAGAAAACAAGUGGAAUCCACAGGCCCCGGGCUGAACGUGGAACUAAUUUGGGAGGCAAUGAGAAAGAGCGGAACAUAACGCGGAGCCCGGGAGGCAGGUCUGCCCUGAGUCAGGACGCCAUCCGGGGGGGUAUCUGGGGCCCCUUGAAAUUUUCAAGGUCCUGCUUCUGAAGUGGGGAGAGCCGGGACAUGAUGGGGACCCACUUCGGAAUCUCAGGAUGGCUGUGCAGAGACUCAGGGCACGGGCCUGGGGUCGGAGCAACUGCAAUCACAUCCUGACUUGCCCCCUCGAUGCUGUGUGACCCGGGGCCUGUCGCUUCACCUCUCUGAGCCUCAGCUGCCGCAUCUGUGAAUGUACGAUCUAGGGAUCCCUCCCUCAGAGGGCUGCUUCAUAGAAGGCUCAGUACCAUGCCAGGCACGUAAGCCACUCUCAGGAAAUCAGACAUGUCGAGACAUGACAUCGGGGGUUGGGGGCAGCAUUAGAGGAGCAAAGACCAGUAACGUCUCCCCCAUUCAUCUGUUCGUUCAGCAGAUACUUAAGAACAUGCAACCUGUGCCAGACUGAGGAACACAGGAGGGAACAAGACAGACCUAGCCCCACGCAAAAGGAAACAAAUAGUGUGUACCUAAUUGCAAUCAUCGUUUGAAGGAUAAGAACAGGGUGCUUGGAUAAAAAAAUAACUGGGGCGGGCUAGGCAUGGUGGCUCACGCCUGUAAUCCCAGGACUUUGGGAGGCCGAGGUGGGCGGAUCACCUGAGGUCAGGAGCUCGAGACCAGCCUGGCCAACAUAGAAAAACCCCAUCUCUACUAAAAGAUACAAAAAUUAGCCAGGCAUGGUGGUGGGCACCUGUAGUCCCAGCUACUGGGGAGGCCAAGGUGGGAGGAUCGCUUGAACCUGGGAGGUGGAGGUUGCAGUGAGCUGAGACCGUGCCACUGCACUCCAGCCUGGGCAACAGAGUGAGACUCCGUCUCAAAAAAAAAAAAGAAAAGAAAAAGUAAAAGUAAAGAGACAAUGCACCCAAAAUUUGGAUAGAUGGAAGGAUAGAGGGAUGGAUAUGUGAUCACUCAAAUUUAGUAAAAUGUUAGUGAGUUGAUGUUGCUGUUUCAAAAUUUUCAUAAUAAAAUGUUGGGGGAAAGUAACAAAACCAAGAAGAAAAAGAGGUAGAAACAAAUUCUUUAACAGCUCUCUUUUCCUACGGAACACUGUCCAGGUGCUUAGCCGGGCAGCCAACACACAAAUCCUUGCCUCACGCCCCAAACUCACUCUAAGUGUGUAGCCCUGGGCACACCCUCAAACCUCUCCGAGGCUGCAGUCCUGGUCUCGUAGGAAGUGAGAGGCCAUCCUCCGGGAGAGGCAAGGCUGAGAUGCACACAGUUGUUUUCAGAGCAGCAAGGCCACUUCGGCAACACCCAGAGCUUAGGGAGGACGUGGUCAACCAGCCUUUACUGGGGCCUGG